GCAGGUAGCCUAGUGGUUAGAGCGUAGGGGCGGCAGGUAGCCUAGUGGUCAGAGUGUAGGGGCGGCAGGUAGCCUAGUGGUUAGAGUGUAGGGGCGGCAGGUAGCCUAGUGGUUAUAGUGUGGGGCGGCAGGUAGCCUAGUGGUUAGAGUGUAGGGGCGGCAGGUAGCCUAGUGGUUAUAGUGUGGGGCGGCUAGUAGCCUAGUAGUUAUAGUGUGGGGCGGCAGGUAGCCUAGUGGUUAGAGUGUAGGGGCGGCAGGUAGCCUAGUGGUUAGAGUGUAGGGGCGGCAGGUAGCCUAGUGGUUAUAGUGUGGGGCGGCUAGUAGCCUAGUAGUUAUAGUGUGGGGCGGCAGGUAGCCUAGUGGUUAGAGUGUAGGGGCGGCAGGUAGCCUAGUGGUUAUAGUGUGGGGCGGCAGGUAGCCUAGUGGUUAGAGCGUAGGGGCGGCAGGUAGCCUAGUGGUCAGAGUGUAGGGGCGGCAGGUAGCCUAGUGGUUAGAGUGUAGGGGCGGCAGGUAGCCUAGUGGUUAUAGUGUGGGGCGGCAGGUAGCCUAGUGGUUAGAGUGUAGGGGCGGCAGGUAGCCUAGUGGUUAUAGUGUGGGGCGGCUAGUAGCCUAGUAGUUAUAGUGUGGGGCGGCAGGUAGCCUAGUGGUUAGAGUGUAGGGGCGGCAGGUAGCCUAGUGGUUAGAGUGUGGGGCGGCAAGUAGCCUAGUGGUUAGAGCGUAGGGGCGGCAGGUAGCCUAGUGGUCAGACUGUAGGGGCGGCAGGUAGCCUAGUGGUUAGAGUGUA
Long non-coding RNA from Oncorhynchus keta (chum salmon), 784 nucleotides. RefSeq lists it as uncharacterized. The record is from RefSeq and is a predicted model, not a curated record. Lineage: Eukaryota; Metazoa; Chordata; Actinopteri; Salmoniformes; Salmonidae. The transcript has 3 exons.